CCAGCUCCAAUAGCGUAUAUUAAAGUUGUUGCAGUUAAAAAGCUCGUAGUUGAAUUUCUGGUCUCGGACAUCGGUCUGCCUCGAACGAGGUACGUACCAGUUGUCUGAAUCCAUCCUCGGGGAAAACAUGUCUGGCAUUCAGUUGUUGGGCAUGGGAUCCUCGUCAUUUACUGUGAGCAAAAUAGAGUGUUCAAAGCAGGCUUAUGCCGUUGAAUACAUUAGCAUGGAAUAAUAAGAUAGGACCUUGGUCUAUUUUGUUGGUUUGUACUCCAAGGUAAUGAUUAAUAGGGAUAGUUGGGGGUAUUCGUAUUCAAUUGUCAGAGGUGAAAUUCUUGGAUUUAUGGAAGACGAACUACUGCGAAAGCAUUUACCAAGGAUGUUUUCAUUAAUCAAGAACGAAAGUUAGGGGAUCGAAGAUGAUUAGAUACCAUCGUAGUCUUAACCAUAAACUAUGCCGACUAGGGAUUGGUGGACGUUUGUAACGACUCCAUCAGCACCUUAUGAGAAAUCAAAGUCUUUGGGUUCCGGGGGGAGUAUGGUCGCAAGGCUGAAUCUUAAAGAAGUUGACGGAAGGGCACCACCAGGAGUGGAGCCUGCGGCUUAAUUCGACUCAAC
This 615-nucleotide ribosomal RNA is filed under the name uncultured eukaryote. Its description in RNAcentral is "SSU rRNA". It matches the Rfam family "Eukaryotic small subunit ribosomal RNA", at positions 585 to 1204 of the family's 1831-position model. The record is from RNAcentral.